CAAACUCCCAGAACAACUCAGACACGGGUAACAAAAGCUGCAGGAUUAACAGAUAUAUAAGCUCAUAAACGUAACUCAUGAGGAGCAAUUUGAUCUUUGUGGCUAUCCUGGGGAUAGCAUGCAUGAUGAUUGGAGUCAAUGGGAACAGUACAACGAGCAGUAGCAACUCCAUAGGCAGCUGGAUAUCUUCUAACAUGACCACCAACCUGAACCAAACACAGCCUCCCAACAUAACCUCCAACUCGACCCAAACACAGCCUCCCAACAUAACCAACUUGAUCCAGACGCACCCUCCCAACAUCACCACAAACCUGACCCAGUCAGGCCCAAACACCACUGCAUCUAAUUCCACUGCACCACUGAACACCACUGCACCCUCAAACGCCGCUGCAUCUAAUGUCACUGCAGCAUUAAACACCACUGUAUCUACUGCGUCUGGAGUAUCUACAGAUAAUAAUGGUGCAGCAAAUGUCACCAAAGACAACUGUAAGAAGGACAGGGCAUGUUUCUCCACUCCAGCCAACUGUGAUCCAUCCAGCUCAAAUAGCUGCUUUUUUGCCUCCACAAGAGGGGUGAACGGAGACUCCAACAAUCUCACUUUUGAGCUCAGCGGGGAUCCAAAUGGUUACAUUGCAGUUGGCCUGUCUCGAGACAAGAAGGAGGGUGAUAAUGACACCGUCUAUUCUUGUGCCAACGACAAUGGUGUGGCGAAGUUCAUCCGUGCCACACUGAAUAAUACCAUUCUGACUCCGGAUAAUACUGUAAGACUCCCUUUUACAGAGCAUUUUCUUUAUUGCCAAGCUAUGCACAAAAGAUUAUUGACUAUACAUUAUGUGGUAAUGAACAGCAAUGGGGACGGCUUUAAAGAACAAAGCAUUCUGAGACAAC
Molecule: long non-coding RNA, 888 nt
Filed under: Sinocyclocheilus grahami
Lineage: Eukaryota; Metazoa; Chordata; Actinopteri; Cypriniformes; Cyprinidae
Description: lncRNA (ENSSGRG00000008351.1)
Source: RNAcentral